Molecule: ribosomal RNA, 190 nt
Filed under: Chryseobacterium sp.
Lineage: Bacteria; Pseudomonadati; Bacteroidota; Flavobacteriia; Flavobacteriales; Weeksellaceae
Description: partial 16S ribosomal RNA
Rfam family: Bacterial small subunit ribosomal RNA
Source: RNAcentral
CCUACGGGAGGCAGCAGUGGGGAAUAUUGGACAAUGGGGGGAACCCUGAUCCAGCCAUGCCGCGUGAAGGACGACGGCCCUAUGGGUUGUAAACUUCUUUUGUAUAGGGAUAAACCUACUCUCGUGAGAGUAGCUGAAGGUACUAUACGAAUAAGCAUCGGCUAACUCCGUGCCAGCAGCCGCGGUAAUA